AGUUUUGAAACAAAUAAUUGUAAUCAGUUUCGACCUGAUAUUUAAGUUUUAAGUAAACUCUAAACUU
RNAcentral lists this transfer RNA (67 nucleotides) under Fenusa (Kaliofenusa) sp. 2 GYN-2022b. Its description in RNAcentral is "tRNA-Arg". Lineage: Eukaryota; Metazoa; Arthropoda; Insecta; Hymenoptera; Tenthredinidae. The record is from RNAcentral.